AUCAAACAUAAUCAAACAUUGCAAGGAAAGAUAAAGUUUUGGAGUCUGCAAUCCAGAGAAACAGUCCAAGAAUGGUUGAACCACAGGGUUCCACCUUUUCUGAGGGAGAUGAAGGAAGCCAACUCUAUCACCAUAUGUCAAACACAUCUUCAUCUGUAACCAUGACAACUCCCAAAGUCUUCUUUAUAGUCUCUGCCUCCCCGGAUAGAGUCCCCCAUCCUGUUUAUUCCUAUUCCAUCUCUCUGCAGCAAACCAAGACGAGAGAGAACCUGGAAAUAACGGUAGUGGGCGGAAGAACCUGGCAUUCACAGGGAAAGACCUUUUUAGUCAUCUGAUCACACUCUCUAACUUCUAAGUUCUUUGAACAUCUUCUUGUAUGUGAACUGUGCAUCAGAGAUUUGGAACAAGAGGAGACUCUGGACUUUCACUUGUUGUCUGAGGACAAUUCCACUCCAAUCCCCAUAAAAAUGUGAAUGAAUGUAUAUGAAAGAGCUGUGAACUGGUGAGCUUGUAUCAUAUCAGCUAUGCUUCAGUCUGACAAGUGUGUAGUCCUGCAGGCUGAAAAAACCCCAUAGAGAUCCCUCUAAUUUUGUCUUUAAAAUGACAGUCUUUCAGCAACUACAGCUGUUUUCCCCCAUCAUGCAUUCUGCCAAUGAAAAUACUGAGUUUGGAACAGGAAGCUACGUAUUGCAACUUUGAAAUCUUAUGUUUUCUUCAUUCCCAACUCUUGUUGCAAGCAAAUCAUCUUAUGAUGCAACUAUUUCUCUGGGGGCCAAAUGGAAGGGUAAUCUGGUCUCUAAUAUGAAGCUAUUUAUUUUUAGCAUGAGAGAGCACAAUAGGUAUGUAAUGAGCCAUAAUCAGGUACAUGUUCAUUUUUGCUUUUAUUUUAUUUUUCUUAGCCUACAGCAUUUCCUUCAUGUUUAGUGUAAAUAAAAAGCUGGGUUUCUGGGCACUAAAGGAGAAAGAUGUAAAAACAGAAAAAAGGUCUCUGCAAAUGCUUCUAUGAAGAAAAACCAUCAAUAAGUAAUGAGACUCAUUUGAAAAAGAAACAAUUGUAUAUUUUUGUAUGGAUGUAAUAUUUGUGUUUGGUUGAAAACUGUGUGCCGCACAGGCCACAGCAGUUACAAGCUUAUCCCAUGGUGCCUCAUCAAUGCCUUUUGCCUGUGUCUUGGAAGAAGCCAUCUCUGUGUAUGAUAGGACAAUUUAGUCAUACUGGCUUAUUCUGUCCUUGGUUCCUGGGCAGAGGUUGUCAGCUAGGUUUACAGUUAGGGCCAAUUCUGAUAGUAUGAUUGUGGAAAAUUGUCCCCUGGGAACUAGAUUUAACUAUCCGAGCCAUCAGAUGAUAAACAUUGGUCCCUUUUGACAAGAGGUGGGUGCAAACCUGUUCUCAAAAAAGUUAGUGUCUCUGCUACA
Molecule: long non-coding RNA, 1413 nt
Organism: Gopherus evgoodei (Goodes thornscrub tortoise)
Lineage: Eukaryota; Metazoa; Chordata; Testudines; Testudinidae
Exons: 4
Source: RefSeq, a predicted model, not a curated record